CUACGGGAGGCAGCAGUGGGGAAUAUUGGACAAUGGGGGCAACCCUGAUCCAGCCAUGCCGCGUGUGUGAAGAAGGCCUUUUGGUUGUAAAGCACUUUAAGCAGUGAAGAAGACCUAACGGUUAAUACCCGUUAGCGAUGACAUUAGCUGCAGAA
RNAcentral lists this ribosomal RNA (155 nucleotides) under uncultured Psychrobacter sp. RNAcentral describes it as "partial 16S ribosomal RNA". It matches the Rfam family "Bacterial small subunit ribosomal RNA", at positions 339 to 486 of the family's 1533-position model. The record is from RNAcentral. Lineage: Bacteria; Pseudomonadati; Pseudomonadota; Gammaproteobacteria; Moraxellales; Moraxellaceae.